Molecule: long non-coding RNA, 371 nt
Filed under: Serinus canaria (Common canary)
Lineage: Eukaryota; Metazoa; Chordata; Aves; Passeriformes; Fringillidae
Description: lncRNA (ENSSCAG00000015757.1)
Source: RNAcentral
CUGACUGCUGCUUUUGCUGACAGCCAUUCACAUGUCUCUUCAGGACAGCUCAUGAAUCUACUUGCAGCUUCUUAGCUCCCAGUGCUGGCCCAGCAGACAGCAUCCCUUGGAAGGCCACAGGGAGGUGUGUGCUUUGCUCAGAUCCUGAACAGCCAAAGCGGUUUCUCACGUUGCAAGGCAGCACCCAGCAGCAGCCAGGUGCCACAAGGAACCAGCUCUCAGGCCUGGAUAUAUGCAUUUCAUCAGCCAUCUACUUUGGAGAGGAAUGGCAUAAAUUUCAACACAUCUGCUAUUUUUGCCUGCAAAAUAUUCAAAAUUGUUUCUGCAGAAGCUACGGGCAGCAGUGGGGGACAUUUAUUUAAAGAAACUUG